UUGGAUGCUGAAGGAGAUGAAUGGGCU
This 27-nucleotide non-coding RNA is filed under the name Cricetulus griseus (Chinese hamster). Lineage: Eukaryota; Metazoa; Chordata; Mammalia; Rodentia; Cricetidae. The record is from RNAcentral.